UACAGAGGGUGCGAGCGUUGUCCGGAAUCACUGGGCGUAAAGGGCGCGUAGGCGGUCGGGUAAGCGUGUGGUGAAAGUCCGGGGCUCAACCCCGGAUCGGCCAUGCGAACUGCUCGACUGGAGCACGGUAGAGGCACAUGGAAUUCCGGGUGUAGCGGUGGAAUGCGUAGAGAUCCGGAAGAACACCGGUGGCGAAGGUGGUGUGCUGGGCCGUAGCUGACGCUGAGGCGCGACAGCGUGGGGAGCAAACAGG
This 253-nucleotide ribosomal RNA is filed under the name uncultured bacterium. Its description in RNAcentral is "partial 16S ribosomal RNA". It matches the Rfam family "Bacterial small subunit ribosomal RNA", at positions 524 to 776 of the family's 1533-position model. The record is from RNAcentral.